ACAAAAUAUCUCCGACAAAAUAUCCCAAAAAAAAUAUAUAUCCCCGAGACUAAAUAUUACACAAAAUCUAUGAUAAAAAGGGUACAAUACGGUAACAAGCUUAUGUGUUAGUCUACUCUC
Molecule: long non-coding RNA, 120 nt
Organism: Cotesia glomerata
Lineage: Eukaryota; Metazoa; Arthropoda; Insecta; Hymenoptera; Braconidae
Exons: 3
Source: RefSeq, a predicted model, not a curated record